Long non-coding RNA from Arvicola amphibius (Eurasian water vole), 947 nucleotides. RefSeq lists it as uncharacterized. The record is from RefSeq and is a predicted model, not a curated record. Lineage: Eukaryota; Metazoa; Chordata; Mammalia; Rodentia; Cricetidae. The transcript is spliced from 3 exons.
AAGUCUUUUAUCUGCUCUGAGUCAUUCUUCUGUCUGUGGACAUAAGGCUUCCACUGUCUUAGAAACCGAGAAGAGACUAAAAAGCUUUCACAUGCCAGAGGCUCAGAAAAACUGGAUGCAGUGUUCACCCUGGAGUCAGAGCUGGUGUAGGUCAAGGACAUUGGCGAGGAAAUGGAUGUGCACACAGAAUCUAGGGCUAGUCGUGCUGUCUACUGAUGUCUUUUGUUGACCUUUGCAGUUAUGCUGUAGCAUUGCUAACAAGUUAAAAGUUCCACCUUGGCCCAAAUUCAUCUAAGAAAAUGAUGCUUUGGCAUUGCCCAGGUCCAGAAUGGUGAACCAGGAUUUAUUUUCUCAGAAGAUCACAAAGAGGUCACUUGUCAUCGUCAAAAUCAGCCGGAUUCCAGACAGGCAACUAAGCCAUGGCGCCUUGGAACAUCAAGAUGUGUCUUCAUGUGUUUCUAAGAAAGCAAAUAAAGCUUAGAAGAGGAGAAAGAGGAAGAACUUGUGGGAAUCUUGGAUUCAUCCUCAGAGACCACCUCAACAUUACAACGCAGAAGCCACAGCAGACCUCGGCCGCGCUUUUCCAGCACAGCCUCCUGGCCGCCCGGAUUUCAUCAACGUCGUCGUUGACGAAUGGAAGUAUCUAUAUUUCCAAGGAACAUGCCACAGGCAGCCGGGACUGUUUUCCCCUCGCAGCUUCCUGUCAUUUGUGGUGUUCUCUUGGAAAACCGCAGGGCUCGGCAGUAACAAGCGGCUGUUUACAGAGCUCCAGCUGUAAUUAAGUCAGAUUGGAUCUGCUCUCUAGUACGGGUGAGGAAACACUCCACCAUCCAUCAUGCCCGAACGGGAUGGGGGUGGGGUAGGGGAUAAAAACAUUCUUCAGCUUGUGCAUGUUCAAGCUGGGGAACAUGUGAAGGAAAAGAUACUUUUGGGGAUUAGAACGGGGU